RNAcentral lists this non-coding RNA (115 nucleotides) under Arthrobacter sp. RNAcentral's name for it is "SAM-IV sequence". It matches the Rfam family "SAM (S-adenosyl methionine) riboswitch aptamer". From Rfam's summary of the family: SAM-IV is a mRNA element that regulates gene expression via direct sensing of S-adenosylmethionine (SAM or AdoMet). SAM-IV riboswitches share conserved nucleotide positions with the previously described SAM-I riboswitches sequence analysis and molecular recognition experiments suggest that SAM-I and SAM-IV riboswitches share similar ligand binding sites, but have different scaffolds. The record is from RNAcentral. Lineage: Bacteria; Bacillati; Actinomycetota; Actinomycetes; Micrococcales; Micrococcaceae.
GGUCACGAGUGCCAGCGCUAAACCCCGGUUUGCUGGCCGGCAACCCUCCAUUCGCGGUGGGGUGCCCCGGGUGACGACCAGGCCGGUCCGGACAUGGAUACGGCAAGCGCGGAUU